AUUGAACGCUGGCGGCAGGCCUAACACAUGCAAGUCGAGCGGAUGAAGGGAGCUUGCUCCUGGAUUCAGCGGCGGACGGGUGAGUAAUGCCUAGGAAUCUGCCUGGUAGUGGGGGAUAACGUCCGGAAACGGGCGCUAAUACCGCAUACGUCCUGAGGGAGAAAGUGGGGGAUCUUCGGACCUCACGCUAUCAGAUGAGCCUAGGUCGGAUUAGCUAGUUGGUGGGGUAAAGGCCUACCAAGGCGACGAUCCGUAACUGGUCUGAGAGGAUGAUCAGACACACUGGAACUGAGACACGGUCCAGACUCCUACGGGAGGCAGCAGUGGGGAAUAUUGGACAAUGGGCGAAAGCCUGAUCCAGCCAUGCCGCGUGUGUGAAGAAGGUCUUCGGAUUGUAGAGCACUUUAAGUUGGGAGGAAGGGCAGUAAGUUAAUACCUUGCUGUUUUGACGUUACCAACAGAAUAAGCACCGGCUAACUUCGUG
Molecule: ribosomal RNA, 484 nt
Filed under: uncultured bacterium
Lineage: Bacteria
Description: partial 16S ribosomal RNA
Rfam family: Bacterial small subunit ribosomal RNA
Source: RNAcentral